Molecule: ribosomal RNA, 332 nt
Filed under: uncultured bacterium
Lineage: Bacteria
Description: bacterial SSU rRNA
Rfam family: Bacterial small subunit ribosomal RNA
Source: RNAcentral
UGUGUAGGCGGUUUGGUAAGUCUGGUGUGAAAUCUCCCGGCUCAACUGGGAGGGUGCGCCGGAAACUGCUGGACUCGAGUGCGGGAGAGGGAAGUGGAAUUCCUGGUGUAGCGGUGAAAUGCGUAGAUAUCAGGAGGAACACCGGUGGUGUAGACGGCUUUCUGGACCGUAACUGACGCUGAGACACGAAAGCGUGGGUAGCAAACAGGAUUAGAUACCCUGGUAGUCCACGCCCUAAACGAUGCAUAUUUGGUGUGGGCAGUUCAUUCUGUCCCGUGCCGGAGCUAACGCGUUAAAUAUGCCGCCUGGGGAGUACAGUCGCAAGGCUAGAA